This 395-nucleotide ribosomal RNA is filed under the name uncultured bacterium. RNAcentral's name for it is "bacterial SSU rRNA". It matches the Rfam family "Bacterial small subunit ribosomal RNA", at positions 505 to 898 of the family's 1533-position model. The record is from RNAcentral.
GUGUCAGCAGCCGCGGUAAGACGAAGGUGGCAAGCGUUGUUCGGAUUCACUGGGCAUAAAGGGCGCGUAGGCGGUUCCGAAAGUGGCCUGUGAAAUCCCCCGGCUCAACCGGGGAAGUGCGGGCCAAACUUCGGUCCUUGAGGCUGGGAGGGGAGACUGGAACUCUCGGUGGAGCGGUGAAAUGCGUAGAUAUCGAGAGGAACACCGGUGGCGAAGGCGAGUCUCUGGUCCAGCUCUGACGCUGAGGCGCGAAAGCGUGGGUAGCAAACAGGAUUAGAUACCCUGGUAGUCCACGCCGUAAACGAUGAGCACUAGGUAGCGGCCGGAUCCAACCGGUCGCUGCUCAAGGAAAUCCAUUAAGUGCUCCGCCUGGGGAGUAUGGUCGCAAGGCUGAA